RNAcentral lists this ribosomal RNA (809 nucleotides) under uncultured bacterium. Its description in RNAcentral is "bacterial SSU rRNA". It matches the Rfam family "Bacterial small subunit ribosomal RNA", at positions 71 to 744 of the family's 1533-position model. The record is from RNAcentral.
GGUGACAGAGGCCAGAAGCCUAGUCAGAAGUCGGAAAAUCGGAAGCCAGAAGCCAGAGUAAAUAAACUUAUUCUGACCUCCGGCAUCUGAUAUCUGCCAUCUGGAUAGGUAUCCGGUUUCUGACAUCUGACUUCUGGAGUGGCGGACGGGUGAGUAACGCGUGGGUAACCUACCCAUAAAGCCGGGACAACCCUUGGAAACGAGGGCUAAUACCGGAUAAUCUUUUUAAGUGGCAUCACUUGGGAAGGAAAGGUGGCCUCUGAGAAUGCUACCGAUUAAGGAUGGACCCGCGUCUGAUUAGCUAGUUGGUGGGGUAAAGGCCUACCAAGGCGACGAUCAGUAGCCGGCCCGAGAGGGUGAACGGCCACACUGGGACUGAGACACGGCCCAGACUCCUACGGGAGGCAGCAGUGGGGAAUCUUCCGCAAUGGACGAAAGUCUGACGGAGCAACGCCGCGUGUAUGAUGAAGGUCUUCGGAUUGUAAAGUACUGUCUUUGGGGAAGAAUAGUGAGCUUAAGAAUAUUGAGUUUAAAUGACGGUACCCAAGGAGGAAGCCCCGGCUAACUACGUGCCAGCAGCCGCGGUAAUACGUAGGGGGCAAGCGUUGUCCGGAAUUAUUGGGCGUAAAGGGCGCGUAGGCGGAUAAUUAAGUCCGGUGUGAAAGAUCAGGGCUCAACCCUGAGAGUGCAUCGGAAACUGGCUAUCUUGAGGACAGGAGAGGAAAGUGGAAUUCCACGUGUAGCGGUGAAAUGCGUAGAUAUGUGGAGGAACACCAGUGGCGAAGGCGACUUUCUGGACUGUAACUGAC